GACGAACGCUGGCGGCGUGCUUAACACAUGCAAGUCGAACGGUAAGGCCCUUCGGGGUACACGAGUGGCGAACGGGUGAGUAACACGUGGGUGAUCUGCCCUGCACUUCGGGAUAAGCCUGGGAAACUGGGUCUAAUACCGGAUAGGACCACUGCCUGCAUGGGUGGUGGUGGAAAGCUUUUGCGGUGUGGGAUGGGCCCGCGGCCUAUCAGCUUGUUGGUGGGGUGAUGGCCUGCCAAGGCGACGACGGGUAGCCGGCCUGAGAGGGUGACCGGCCACACUGGGACUGAGAUACGGCCCAGACUCCUACGGGAGGCAGCAGUGGGGAAUAUUGCACAAUGGGCGCAAGCCUGAUGCAGCGACGCCGCGUGAGGGAUGACGGCCAUCGGGUUGUAAACCUCUUUCAGCACCGACGAAGCGCAAGUGACGGUAGGUGCAGAAGAAGGACCGGCCAACUACGUGCCAGCAGCCGCAGUAA
RNAcentral lists this ribosomal RNA (478 nucleotides) under uncultured bacterium. Its description in RNAcentral is "partial 16S ribosomal RNA". It matches the Rfam family "Bacterial small subunit ribosomal RNA", at positions 28 to 523 of the family's 1533-position model. The record is from RNAcentral.